RNAcentral lists this ribosomal RNA (503 nucleotides) under uncultured bacterium. Its description in RNAcentral is "partial 16S ribosomal RNA". It matches the Rfam family "Bacterial small subunit ribosomal RNA", at positions 30 to 523 of the family's 1533-position model. The record is from RNAcentral.
AUUGAACGCUGGCGGCAGGCUUAACACAUGCAAGUCGAGCGGGGUGAUGGUGCUUGCACUAUCACUUAGCGGCGGACGGGUGAGUAAUGCUUAGGAAUCUGCCUAUUAGUGGGGGACAACAUCUCGAAAGGGAUGCUAAUACCGCAUACGUCCUACGGGAGAAAGCAGGGGAUCACUUGUGACCUUGCGCUAAUAGAUGAGCCUAAGUCGGAUUAGCUAGUUGGCGGGGUAAAGGCCUACCAAGGCGACGAUCUGUAGCGGGUCUGAGAGGAUGAUCCGCCACACUGGGACUGAGACACGGCCCAGACUCCUACGGGAGGCAGCAGUGGGGAAUAUUGGACAAUGGGGGGAACCCUGAUCCAGCCAUGCCGCGUGUGUGAAGAAGGCCUUAUGGUUGUAAAGCACUUUAAGCGAGGAGGAGGCUCUUUUGGUUAAUACCCAAGAUGAGUGGACGUUACUCGCAGAACAAGCACCGGCUAACUCUGUGCCAGCCGCCGCCGUAA